AUACAAUUAUCUUCAAAUUUUAUGUAUUUUUUGCUAACUUAGUUGUUGAGAAGUAAAUAGAAUUUUAAAUAAGAUUUAUGGUUUAAUCGAUAGAUAUUGAGGUUCUAAAUUAUAUUAUGAUUAGAUUGAGUUGAUUAGGUUUUGAUUAGGAUUUGGUUCGGGAUUAGGAUUACAUUAGAAUUUAUGAUUUGGUUAAGAUUUGAUCAAGAUUUAGGAUUAGAUUAAGAUUUAAGGUUUGGUUUAGGAUUUGUUUAAAAUUUAAGAUUUAGGGUUUAAAGUUUAUUUAAGGUUUAGGAUUUGGCCUAAGAUUUUAUUGAAUUCUACUAAGGUUU
RNAcentral lists this long non-coding RNA (332 nucleotides) under Physcomitrium patens. Its description in RNAcentral is "long non-coding RNA (PPAT_LNC000336)". Lineage: Eukaryota; Viridiplantae; Streptophyta; Bryopsida; Funariales; Funariaceae. The record is from RNAcentral.